UAGGGAAUCUUGCGCAAUGGGCGAAAGCCUGACGCAGCAACGCCGCGUGCGGGAUGAAGGCCUUCGGGUUGUAAACCGCUUUCAGUGGGGACGAAAACAGACGGUACCCACAGAAGAAGCCCCGGCCAACUACGUGCCAGCAGCCGCGGUAACACGUAGGGGGCAAGCGUUGUCCGGAUUUAUUGGGCGUAAAGAGCUCGUAGGCGGCUCAGUAAGUCAGGUGUGAAAACUCCAGGCUCAACCUGGAGACGCCACCUGAUACUGCUGUGGCUAGAGUCCGGUAGGGGAGCAUGGAAUUCCUGGUGUAGCGGUGAAAUGCGCAGAUAUCAGGAGGAACACCAAUGGCGAAAGCAGGUAACUGGACUAUUACUGACACUAAGCUGCGAAAGCUAGGGGAGCAAACAGGAUUAGAUACCCCCGUAGUCCCUGAGCGGGCUGGCAAGGCGCAU
RNAcentral lists this ribosomal RNA (449 nucleotides) under uncultured bacterium. RNAcentral's name for it is "bacterial SSU rRNA". It matches the Rfam family "Bacterial small subunit ribosomal RNA", at positions 355 to 825 of the family's 1533-position model. The record is from RNAcentral.